UUUUNAGNUUUUUNNNNCCCCGNANGACGAACGCUGGCGGCGUGCCUAAUACAUGCAAGUCGAACGCUUCUUUCCUCCCGAGUGCUUGCACUCAAUUGGAAAGAGGAGUGGCGGACGGGUGAGUAACACGUGGGUAACCUACCCAUCAGAGGGGGAUAACACUUGGAAACAGGUGCUAAUACCGCAUAACAGUUUAUGCCGCAUGGCAUAAGAGUGAAAGGCGCUUUCGGGUGUCGCUGAUGGAUGGACCCGCGGUGCAUUAGCUAGUUGGUGAGGUAACGGCUCACCAAGGCCACGAUGCAUAGCCGACCUGAGAGGGUGAUCGGCCACACUGGGACUGAGACACGGCCCAGACUCCUACGGGAGGCAGCAGUAGGGAAUCUUCGGCAAUGGACGAAAGUCUGACCGAGCAACGCCGCGUGAGUGAAGAAGGUUUUCGGAUCGUAAAACUCUGUUGUUAGAGAAGAACAAGGACGUUAGUAACUGAACGUCCCCUGACGGUAUCUAACCAGAAAGCCACGGCUAACUACGUGCCAGCAGCCGCGGUAAUACGUAGGUGGCAAGCGUUGUCCGGAUUUAUUGGGCGUAAAGCGAGCGCAGGCGGUUUCUUAAGUCUGAUGUGAAAGCCCCCGGCUCAACCGGGGAGGGUCAUUGGAAACUGGGAGACUUGAGUGCAGAAGAGGAGA
This 686-nucleotide ribosomal RNA is filed under the name Enterococcus faecalis. RNAcentral describes it as "bacterial SSU rRNA". It matches the Rfam family "Bacterial small subunit ribosomal RNA", at positions 1 to 660 of the family's 1533-position model. Lineage: Bacteria; Bacillati; Bacillota; Bacilli; Lactobacillales; Enterococcaceae. The record is from RNAcentral.